CCUCUGGAUGUUUUGGACUACAACUCCCAUCAGCCCCAGCGAUGGGAAUGCUGGGGGCUGAUGGGAGUUGUAGUCCAAAACAUCCAGAGG
Podarcis lilfordi (Lilford's wall lizard) is the source of this 90-nucleotide non-coding RNA. The record is from the annotation of a GenBank genome assembly. Lineage: Eukaryota; Metazoa; Chordata; Lepidosauria; Squamata; Lacertidae.